This 998-nucleotide ribosomal RNA is filed under the name Staphylococcus aureus. RNAcentral's name for it is "partial 23S ribosomal RNA". It matches the Rfam family "Bacterial large subunit ribosomal RNA", at positions 444 to 1450 of the family's 2925-position model. The record is from RNAcentral. Lineage: Bacteria; Bacillati; Bacillota; Bacilli; Caryophanales; Staphylococcaceae.
CUGGGAGGACCAUCUCCUAAGGCUAAAUACUCUCUAGUGACCGAUAGUGAACCAGUACCGUGAGGGAAAGGUGAAAAGCACCCCGGAAGGGGAGUGAAAUAGAACCUGAAACCGUGUGCUUACAAGUAGUCAGAGCCCGUUAAUGGGUGAUGGCGUGCCUUUUGUAGAAUGAACCGGCGAGUUACGAUUUGAUGCAAGGUUAAGCAGUAAAUGUGGAGCCGUAGCGAAAGCGAGUCUGAAUAGGGCGUUUAGUAUUUGGUCGUAGACCCGAAACCAGGUGAUCUACCCUUGGUCAGGUUGAAGUUCAGGUAACACUGAAUGGAGGACCGAACCGACUUACGUUGAAAAGUGAGCGGAUGAACUGAGGGUAGCGGAGAAAUUCCAAUCGAACCUGGAGAUAGCUGGUUCUCUCCGAAAUAGCUUUAGGGCUAGCCUCAAGUGAUGAUUAUUGGAGGUAGAGCACUGUUUGGACGAGGGGCCCCUCUCGGGUUACCGAAUUCAGACAAACUCCGAAUGCCAAUUAAUUUAACUUGGGAGUCAGAACAUGGGUGAUAAGGUCCGUGUUCGAAAGGGAAACAGCCCAGACCACCAGCUAAGGUCCCAAAAUAUAUGUUAAGUGGAAAAGGAUGUGGCGUUGCCCAGACAACUAGGAUGUUGGCUUAGAAGCAGCCAUCAUUUAAAGAGUGCGUAAUAGCUCACUAGUCGAGUGACACUGCGCCGAAAAUGUACCGGGGCUAAACAUAUUACCGAAGCUGUGGAUUGUCCUUUGGACAAUGGUAGGAGAGCGUUCUAAGGGCGUUGAAGCAUGAUCGUAAGGACAUGUGGAGCGCUUAGAAGUGAGAAUGCCGGUGUGAGUAGCGAAAGACGGGUGAGAAUCCCGUCCACCGAUUGACUAAGGUUUCCAGAGGAAGGCUCGUCCGCUCUGGGUUAGUCGGGUCCUAAGCUGAGGCCGACAGGCGUAGGCGAUGGAUAACAGGUUGAUAUUCCUGUACCACCUA